AAGUUAGCCAAUGAAUCUGCUUACCUGAAAGUGUUUCUGCAGAAAUUUUUUAAAAGCUGGCAAUAAGUAAAGCCAUGUUACAAGCUCUAAGGACAUCGAAGUCUUUUAAGGGCCCUGGAAACGGCUAUGACA
Molecule: small nucleolar RNA, 132 nt
Organism: Prolemur simus (greater bamboo lemur)
Lineage: Eukaryota; Metazoa; Chordata; Mammalia; Primates; Lemuridae
Source: Ensembl